GGUUGUUAGCUCAGUCGGUAGAGCAGUGGGCUUUUAACCAAUUGUUCGCAGGUUCGAGCCGAGCGAAGCG
RNAcentral lists this transfer RNA (70 nucleotides) under Photorhabdus asymbiotica. RNAcentral describes it as "transfer RNA-Lys". The record is from RNAcentral. Lineage: Bacteria; Pseudomonadati; Pseudomonadota; Gammaproteobacteria; Enterobacterales; Morganellaceae.